Molecule: ribosomal RNA, 549 nt
Filed under: Pseudomonas plecoglossicida
Lineage: Bacteria; Pseudomonadati; Pseudomonadota; Gammaproteobacteria; Pseudomonadales; Pseudomonadaceae
Description: bacterial LSU rRNA
Rfam family: Bacterial large subunit ribosomal RNA
Source: RNAcentral
GUAUAGACCCGAAACCGGGCGAUCUAUCCAUGGGCAGGUUGAAGGUUAGGUAACACUGACUGGAGGACCGAACCGACUACCGUUGAAAAGUUAGCGGAUGACCUGUGGAUCGGAGUGAAAGGCUAAUCAAGCUCGGAGAUAGCUGGUUCUCCUCGAAAGCUAUUUAGGUAGCGCCUCAUGUAUCACUCCAGGGGGUAGAGCACUGUUUCGGCUAGGGGGUCAUCCCGACUUACCAAACCGAUGCAAACUCCGAAUACCUGGAAGUGCCGAGCAUGGGAGACACACGGCGGGUGCUAACGUCCGUCGUGAAAAGGGAAACAACCCAGACCGUCAGCUAAGGUCCCAAAGUCAUGGUUAAGUGGGAAACGAUGUGGGAAGGCUUAGACAGCUAGGAGGUUGGCUUAGAAGCAGCCACCCUUUAAAGAAAGCGUAAUAGCUCACUAGUCGAGUCGGCCUGCGCGGAAGAUGUAACGGGGCUCAAACCAUGCACCGAAGCUACGGGUGUCAUCUUUGAUGACGCGGUAGAGGAGCGUUCUGUAAGCCUGUGAA